AUUAAAAUUUGUAAUAUGUUACUUUACAACAAUUCAAAGAGUAUAGAGGAUCUGGAAAUGUAACACAUUGUUAUUGGCAACUGCAAAUUCCUAUACCAUAGCAGCUCCUGCUGAAACUAAUUCUUGUAUAAAAAGUCAAGCCUCUUCUUUUAAAACAUGUUAUACUGUACUGGGCUAGAUUACGUAUGCAAAAGUGAACGUUGCAAUAGUUCGUGAGCUAUGUAUGCCUUUCUCGGAAUUCGUUUUAAAUCGUACAGUCGAUUAACAGCGGGUAAAUGUUGCAAACUUAUUUAAACUCGACUAUGGCAUUUAGUCUUUUUCUAUAGAAGGGAACAAAGCUAGAAAUGCUGUUGGUUGGUUACCGCGUGAUUGCUUAUCAGCGUGAACCGCGGGAGGCUUAUGUAAUCCAGUUUGGGUUAAAGAAAACGGGCAACAGUGGGAACUGUUUACCGAGUGAUGUAAUUGCUAUGAUCCUACAAAUCUCGACUUCUAGUCGAGUUGUCAUCUGCUGGCAAUGCUGGGCACCCCAGAGCGACUAGAAUGACGGUUUGGUCGAAAGUCGAAUUUUAAUUAAACUCGUUGAGCGAUGGACAGGGCGUUGUAUAAACCAGUGUCGAAAACUCGACGAUCGUCCGCAGAGCUUCAAUAAACUCUCGCAUACCAUUCUCGUAGCUCUAUCAAAUUUGUGGUUGCUGCGUUGUAGUUAUAGCGUAUGCUUCACAAACUCAGCGUGAAGAAUGUUAGACAACAACAAGUGUUUGUUGGAACAUCUGAGUAAACGCACACUUUCUCCUAAAUAUCGAAAGGGUAAUCAGCGUUAGAAUGUACCGUAACCACCGCACUCGACCGUGCAUUAUGUUGCACAAAUAGGCGUUGCCAUCUGCCGACCUCAACUAUAAACUUACCUGCGUUGAUAUAUAACAUAUGGAACAUUAAUACACCUUAGCGCAGUAAACAGUUUCGAAUUUGAGUUUCUAGGUAUACCAAAGCACUAAACAGCAGCUUGGUAACAUUUCGGCAUGAAAGUCUGACGUAGACAGCUUAAUUGAAAUGGUUAACUAUACACGAACUGUUUCAGCUCAUCUCGUACUUUACGUCACACCAUAUGGUUACAGCCAUUAAAACGUAUUUCGUGUCAUCCACCAUUCUUUAGCUGCAUAGCUGUCGCGAAAGCUUUGUCGUUUACACCGAAACGAUACUGCAACAUACGAACAAGAAAUACCUAAUACCUUUGCGUGUGCCACGAGUAAACAAAUCGUAGACUUUCUCCAUUAUUAGUAGGUCAUACAAUAAACUGUGCAUCACCAUAGAUAUAACUACCUGUCCUGUACAACUUCUUAAACUAAGAAUGCUGUUUCCUUUAAAGGUCUUAAAACGGGGUUUAUAACGUAUUUGGUGAACAAUAGCAAACAUCUCAAAUAAAUAUACUUACUGUCUGGCUCAUAAAUCAAUUGAGCUUCUAUCGACUCUUUAGUGCUUACUAUGUCUGAUAUCUACCUUUGCCAAUGUCCACGAAUGUGUUCGCAUUCACUGCCUUACGGGCGUUUACGUACGGGUCGCUAUACGAAGCAUUCUGGACUGUAAUUGAAUACCUGUCGAGCACUGGUUUGUUUUCGUUUGGAAUCUGAAACAUGAGACGCGCAUCGCGUCGUACAAUUUUUUCUGAGCUACCAGAAUCUAGUAACAAAUGAGACAAGUCUAUGAUUUACAUCACAUAACGGUUAAAGUGCGUACACUCCCUCUGCCAAGCGUAACGUUUUUCUAAACAGCUGUUGGUGCGUGUUUCUAAUAAUUAGCGCCGAAGCACGCUGUAAUAUGAGAGGGAAAACACGUCGUGUUAUUUCGAGCAGUUUUCUGUAAUUUUGCAUGUAGAAAGCAAGAAAUGGCAUAAUCUUCGCUUGGCCAAAGCGUAUUUAGAACUUCCUGUAACACUUGUUUCAAUAUUGAUUUAACGAGUGACAAUAAAGCUUCUGAAUCACGCUAGUACAGUGUAGGGUGAUUAUAAUUUAGUGUUACUGAAGUUUCUAUACUUCUCCUGAAACCCACAAACCAUUAACAUGAUUUGGAUUUACAUUAUCAUUAAGCAGAGGGGUAAAACAACGAAUUGAAGUUCAGUGUACUCACUUUUGACGUCAUGAGUGAAUUACAGCUACACUGUCUAGCAACUGAGAAAGAACUAACUUACGUAAUAAAACAAAAUUAACUGAAACUGGUAAGUGAGCACCAGCAUGAACGUAAUCCCUCCAUAUAUCUGCCCUCCAAGGUUUCAAGUCAAUUUAGACCUACAUACAUUUUAAUGCGACCAUCCAUACUAUUUAAUUGCCCUUUCCGCACUGCUGGCAGUGACCAAGAAGCGUGGUCUGUCGUAGCUGUUUCUAAUAUAAUAUAAAGCUCCCAAAAUACCCUAAAAUAAUCUGCCGUCCAAAGGUGACUCAAAGACAGGUAGCAUUACAUCAUGUUCGUUUCUCUUUUCUCUUAGUUUGCUCUGAAUCACUGUGGUUGAUUUUGUAAGCGAUAGUCAAUUAAUAUUUAUAGGUCCCCUAAAUUAUACUGUUACAGUGUAAAGGGAAGCGACCUGGGAUAUGCCAAAACCGUACUAACAAACACGACUUCAUACCGUUUAUCCUUCGCCAUAACCAGAUCGCCAUCGCGUUCCAGAGCCUUACUAAUCUGAAGGUGUUUCUCAGUUAGGCAGAUACCUGUCGUCUCACCUGAUCAUUAUCUACGUAGGAGACAUUACACUUUCAAUUGUAAAUAACCUCUGCAUUCUUUCGCCAGACAAUACUGUCUGAGCUUGCUAGUGCGGAACAUGGUACCGGCGCCCGGCCGCGAAAAAAGGGCGGUACACACCGAGAGGUUAACAAUUACAAACAGUUGGUCACCAGUCUUUUCAUCAAGGGUACACACUAGACGACCGCAAGACCCUUAACUGUACAGAAGGCCGAAAAGAGCGCGAGAAUCGUCAUUCAAGUGCGUUUGAUCGCUUCUUUUCUGAUUAAACAACUGACGGUUAUCUCAUUGUCAAACAGCUGAAAUCUCUCAAAGGCUAAAACUUUGGCUAAAACACCCUGACAAAACGAGACAGCACAUUUUAGAUUCACUCCUACGCUGACUGAGUUAAACAUAUACGCAUCGGCAUUUGUAAAACCUUGUUGAAGUUUAACUAAAAAUGUUCACAAUUGGUAAAGGUUUGUUGGUAUUGGGCAUAUAGAGAACGACGCGUGUUACAGAACGUCGUAUAAGUCAGUCUGUGGUGCGCAUCAUUCUUGUGUGGUCGAAGCGCAUGUAACGUGACACUUGUCGUAUAAACAAACUUGCUCCCGAGUCAAAGAUCCUGUUUCAAAGGGGAAGGGUUUCGUUUCCAUCGUUUUGGAGCCCAGUUUCGUGUCACACAUGAAAGUAAACACACCGAAAAGAUCGAACACAGAACUCAAUUCAUCUGGAACUAUUCCAAUGGUUGUAACUGACAGCUCCAGAUCUGUUUGUUUACAUUCCGACAUAGCUGGCUGGUUAUGUAUUGCGCGGUCCAAUUUAUUUUCCCGCGAAGUUGUUGGUCCAAAACUACGCUGACACAACGUUUUAAAAAGUCAUUUUUGCGGUUCCUUUAUAAAAACUCCGCUAAUGUAUGCCUUACAUUAAAUGAAUAGAACGACUAUAUGCAUUUAUCUGGGUUGAAGUUCAGAUGUAAUUCAUCGAUUUGUCAAAAAUUAGAUCACAGUAUAGUCUAUUUAUAAAUGGCUUCGAAAGUUUGUGAAACAAAAAUGACAAAUUUAAAACGUAUUGGUUACCUAG
This is a long non-coding RNA of Ciona intestinalis (vase tunicate), 3792 nucleotides long. RefSeq lists it as uncharacterized. The record is from RefSeq and is a predicted model, not a curated record. NCBI's taxonomy places the organism in Eukaryota, Metazoa, Chordata, Ascidiacea, Phlebobranchia, Cionidae.